Equus quagga is the source of this 2402-nucleotide long non-coding RNA. RefSeq lists it as uncharacterized. The record is from RefSeq and is a predicted model, not a curated record. Lineage: Eukaryota; Metazoa; Chordata; Mammalia; Perissodactyla; Equidae. The transcript has 3 exons.
ACAUUAUCUAGAACACCUGUGUAUGUUUAACAGAUAUAAGCUAUGUAUAUAUUGAAACGCUGGUUAUGAUAAACUCAGAGUGGCCAUCAGCCUAUCCUGGUGUGUACGUUGGAUCACAACACCAACAGUAAGAAACUCAGUAAGACGUAAUUAUGGCUGGGCCCAGGGAGGGAGCAGUGAAGGUGUGGAAAGUGGUCAUAUUCUAGAUGUAACUUGAUGAUAGAGCCAACAGGAUUUGCUGAUGAAUUGAAUAUGGUGUAUGGGGGAAGAGAGGAAUCAAGGACCACAUUGAGGUUUUGGCCUAAGCAAUGGGAAGGACGCAGCAUUCUCACUAACUGAAAUGGGGAGGGUUGCGGAAGGAGCAGGUUUGAGGGAAAAUUUAGGAAAUUAAUUUCAGAUGUACUGUGUUUGAGAAGCUUGUUCUGAGUCUGCAGUUCCCAGGUGGGAUAAGGACUAGACAUAAAUUUGGAAGUUGUCAGCAUAGAAAUGGCUUUGAAAGCUGUGGGAUUUGAUGAGAUCCUGUAAGAGUGGGUGUAUGAAGAGAAGCAGAACAAGGCCUAAGUCUCAGGAGGUCAGGGAACUGAGAACCAGCAAAGCAGCCUGAGAAGGAGCAGCGCAUGCAGCAGGAGAGUGCAUAUACCCUCGGGUGUCUAAGGCAGGACCAACCAUCACCGCUGACAUGGAGGAAGACAGAGCUUCAUGGUACAGUUAUAAGCAUAGUCCGUCAAGAUAUCCCUUCUGGAAACCCCUAAUGGUCCCUUCACUGUACAUGGACAUCAUAGAACAUGAUGAAAUCAGAGUAAACCAAUGAGGUUAGCUUCUGUUGUCUGCGCUGAGGAGCCCUCACACAGACCUCUAAACUGGGGGAAUCCUGGAGUCAGAUUGUCCCACUCCUGCUGUUCCCAGUCUCUGCCACAUGGAGUCACUAUGGAGAAGCUGGCUCUUCACUCUUCUGGCCCCAACGCUGGCCCACUUGGCUGCCAAGCCUCCAGGUCCCAGGUCACUGUUCAGAGUUCUUGGUGUGUCGAGGGGCUGCGAUGCCAUUCCUUUCUAGCUCAGCUGAGGGUGCCUCACAUGCUGGUUUCCCAGCUUGCCGCCCUUCGUCCUAUUCUCUUUUCACCUCAUGCACAGAUAUCUUUCCAGGUCUGCUGGAUCAGGACAAGGUGGUGGUUUUAAAACAUGCCACAAAUUCUUUGACAUCCCUCCCAUCAAGAGAUGGAUUCUAUUUCCUCCUCUUGAACUUGAUCAGGUCUCUGUCAUGUGAGUGAGGCUAAAUGACUUCCAAGGCUGGUUGAAAAAGGCCACUCAGGUUCUGCUGGGACACAUGUCAGGGCUCUGUAAGAAGUCUGAUGCCCCUGAAUUGCCAUGGUGAGAGCCAUGUGGAGAGACCACAGAGAGGGAGAUCUCAAGAAACCCAGCGUGAGUCCUCCCAGCCCAGACUGCAGAUGUGCGAGUGAAGACACCUUCAAGAUGGCCCUUGCCCUGGCCCUGUCUGAGGUCAACUGCAUGAGAGGAUGGAAGAACUGCCCUGCUGAGCCUGGCCAAUCCCCAAAUGCAUGACCAAAAUAAUAAACAACUGUAUUUAAAUCACUGGUUUUGGGUUCUUUCUUCACAGCGACAGGUAACCAAAAACUCCCUGCCAUUCAAUGACAAAACGAAUUAAAAAUCUUGUCAGCAUGGGAACGGGAGGAGGAGUCACUGUUUAAUGGGCAGAGUUUCAGCUUGGGAAAAGUUUCUGGAGAUGGAUGGUGGUGAUGGUUGCACAACAAUGUGAAUGUACUUAAUGCCACUGAACUGUAUACUUCAAAAUGGUAAAAAUGGUAAAAUUUUGUUAUGCAUAUUUUACCAAAAUUUUUAAAAAGCAAAAAAAAUCUGGGCAGCAACUGAUUUUGAAAUAUAUGCAGAAAUGGCCAUUUCUUUCAUUAAAACAACUGGAUUCUAUCCAGAAUUGGAUCCCAGGUAUUGAAGAUAAUAUUUAUGAGAAAAAUAUACCUCUAUCUUCAAGAUGAUGAUACCUGUGCUUUAAAAAUAUAAUAAAAGCAGCUAAAGUGUAUGCAUUGAGCUCCUUCUGUGAACCAAAGGCUAGGGAUGCAGUUGGAAGGAAGACAGACAAAGUCUCUCUUCUCCUGUGUCUUCCAUUGUGGAGGGGCAAGGGGUGGUUGGAGGGUGAGCACUGUGGGGGGAGGGGUAGGCAAAUGGAAAUGGAAUAUGUUGGGUGAUGACAAGUGCUAUGCUGAGAUUAAAGCAGGGUCAUGUGAUAGAGACUGGGUGCCUGCUGUACAUUGGGUCCACGGGGGAGCCCCGAAUGGAUGGUGGUGCCAUUUACUAUGGUGGGAGAUGCAGGUUUAGGAAGGGAGAUCAAGAGUUGUGGGCUGGAGAUCUUGUCAAGAUGGCGGCAGAGG